This 253-nucleotide unclassified non-coding RNA is filed under the name Hevea brasiliensis (rubber tree). The record is from RNAcentral. Lineage: Eukaryota; Viridiplantae; Streptophyta; Magnoliopsida; Malpighiales; Euphorbiaceae.
AAAGGAUCCUAUCCGGCUAACCUGAUGAGGAGGGUAUCAAGAAUCUUACGCGUUGCCACCGACUUUUGCUGCAUCAAGGAUAGAGGCAACUAGCUUGAGAUGAGUUUCGCUGAAAGAUUUGCACAUUCAGGAGGUCCUUAUCUCACUGCCGCACAGCCAAGUCAAAACCCCAAGAGCUCAAUCGAUCUGGCGGGGCAGAGCCCUUCAAGUACAUGCAAAAACCACAAUAAAAUAAAAAUUAGGUACAGUGAGG